This 1474-nucleotide unclassified non-coding RNA is filed under the name Paecilomyces sp. RNAcentral's name for it is "sequence contains ITS1, 5.8S rRNA gene, ITS2, 28S rRNA gene". The stretch from base 859 to 1474 matches the Rfam family "Eukaryotic large subunit ribosomal RNA", at positions 1 to 632 of the family's 3401-position model. The record is from RNAcentral. Lineage: Eukaryota; Fungi; Ascomycota; Eurotiomycetes; Eurotiales; Thermoascaceae.
GGCCCAACCUCCCAUCCGUGUUGACCGACACCUGUUGCUUCGGCGGGCCCGCCAGGGCUCCCGCCCCGGCCGCCGGGGGGCCUCAUCGCCCCCGGGCCCGCGCCCGCCGAAGACCCCUCGAACGCUGCCUUGAAGGUUGCCGUCUGAGUAUCAAAUCAAUUGUUAAAACUUUCAACAACGGAUCUCUUGGUUCCGGCAUCGAUGAAGAACGCAGCGAAAUGCGAUAAGUAAUGUGAAUUGCAGAAUUCCGUGAAUCAUCGAAUCUUUGAACGCACAUUGCGCCCCCUGGCAUUCCGGGGGGCAUGCCUGUCCGAGCGUCAUUGCUAACCCUCCAGCCCGGCUGGUUGCGGGUCCUCGUGGCCCAACCUCCCAUCCGUGUUGACCGACACCUGUUGCUUCGGCGGGCCCGCCAGGGCUCCCGCCCCGGCCGCCGGGGGGCCUCAUCGCCCCCGGGCCCGCGCCCGCCGAAGACCCCUCGAACGCUGCCUUGAAGGUUGCCGUCUGAGUAUCAAAUCAAUUGUUAAAACUUUCAACAACGGAUCUCUUGGUUCCGGCAUCGAUGAAGAACGCAGCGAAAUGCGAUAAGUAAUGUGAAUUGCAGAAUUCCGUGAAUCAUCGAAUCUUUGAACGCACAUUGCGCCCCCUGGCAUUCCGGGGGGCAUGCCUGUCCGAGCGUCAUUGCUAACCCUCCAGCCCGGCUGGUGUGUUGGGCCGUCGUCCCCUCCGGGGGACGGGCCCGAAAGGCAGCGGCGGCACCGCGUCCGGUCCUCGAGCGUAUGGGGCUUUGUCACGCGCUCUGGUAGGCCCGGCCGGCUUGCUGGCCAACGACCUCACGGUCACCUAACUUCUCUCUUAGGUUGACCUCGGAUCAGGUAGGGAUACCCGCUGAACUUAAGCAUAUCAAUAAGCGGAGGAAAAGAAACCAACAGGGAUUGCCCUAGUAACGGCGAGUGAAGCGGCAAGAGCUCAAAUUUGAAAUCUGGCUCCUCCGGGGUCCGAGUUGUAAUUUGCAGAGGAUGCUUCGGGUGCGGUCCCCGUCUAAGUGCCCUGGAACGGGCCGUCAUAGAGGGUGAGAAUCCCGUCUGGGAUGGGCGGCCGUGCCCGUGUGAAGCUCCUUCGACGAGUCGAGUUGUUUGGGAAUGCAGCUCUAAAUGGGUGGUAAAUUUCAUCUAAAGCUAAAUAUUGGCCGGAGACCGAUAGCGCACAAGUAGAGUGAUCGAAAGAUGAAAAGCACUUUGAAAAGAGAGUUAAACAGCACGUGAAAUUGUUGAAAGGGAAGCGCUUGCGACCAGACUCGCCUGCGGGGGUUCAGCCGGUACUCGUACCGGUGUACUCCCCCGUGGGCGGGCCAGCGUCGGUUUGGGCGGCCGGUCAAAGGCCCCCGGAAUGUGUCGCCUCUCGGGGCGUCUUAUAGCCGGGGGUGCAAUGCGGCCAGCCUGGACCGAGGAACGCGCUUCGGCACGGACGCUGGCGU